This 484-nucleotide ribosomal RNA is filed under the name uncultured bacterium. RNAcentral describes it as "partial 16S ribosomal RNA". It matches the Rfam family "Bacterial small subunit ribosomal RNA", at positions 29 to 523 of the family's 1533-position model. The record is from RNAcentral.
AGUGAACGCUGGCGGCGUGCUUAACACAUGCAAGCCGAACGAGAACGGAUUAUAGCUUGCUAUAAUUGUCAGCUAAGUGGCGCACGGGUGAGUAAUGUAUAGGUAAUAUGCCUCUUACUAAGGGAUAACAAAUGGAAACGUUUGCUAAUACCUUAUACUCCUUAUUAACAUAAGUUAAUAAGGGAAAGAUUUAUUGGUAAGAGAUUAGCCUGUAUUGUAUCAGUUAGUUGGUGGGGUAAUGGCUUACCAAGACUAUGACACAUAACUGGUUUGAGAGGAUGAUCAGUCACACUGGAACUGAGACACGGUCCAGACUCCUACGGGAGGCAGCAGUGGCGAAUAUUGCACAAUGGAUGAAAGUCUGAUGCAGCAACGCCGCGUGGAGGAUGACACAUUUCGGUACGUAAACUCCUUUUAGAUGAGGAGAUAAUGACGGUAUGAUAUGAAUAAGCACCGGCUAACUCCGUGCCAGCCGCCGCGGUAA